Molecule: ribosomal RNA, 399 nt
Filed under: Proceratophrys cururu
Lineage: Eukaryota; Metazoa; Chordata; Amphibia; Anura; Alsodidae
Description: partial 12S ribosomal RNA
Rfam family: Bacterial small subunit ribosomal RNA
Source: RNAcentral
CCCCACUAUGCCCAGCCGUAAACCUUUAAUUACAAUUAAAUCGCCUGGGAACUACGAGCAAAGCUUAAAACCCAAAGGACUUGACGGUACCCCACAUCCACCUAGAGGAGCCUGUCCUAUAAUCGAUAAUCCACGUUCAACCUCACCAUUUUUAGCCUAUCAGCCUGUAUACCUCCGUCCUCAGCUUACCCCGUGAGUGAAAUCUAGUAAGCUUAAUGCCUUUACGCCAACACGUCAGGUCAAGGUGCAGCAAAUGAAAUGGGAAGAGAUGGGCUACACUCUCUAACUUAGAAAAUACGAAAGACUACCUAUGAAACCUAGUCAGAAGGCGGAUUUAGAAGUAAAAAGAAAAUAGCAUAUUCUUUUUAACCAGGCACUGGGGUGUGUACACACCGCCCG